CAUAUUGAAGAGCAAAUGAGUUGGUUGUUAUAGGAUUUAGUUGUGGGAUACAUGGGUGUGCCAAAAUAUUCUGGAAUCAGCAUGACUCAACAUCCACAGUAUGUUACAGUAAGGAAAGGGUCCUGAACCUGCCCCAAAGUUUGUUGGCAAUGUGAUUGCUUUCUUG
Molecule: long non-coding RNA, 166 nt
Organism: Prunus dulcis (almond)
Lineage: Eukaryota; Viridiplantae; Streptophyta; Magnoliopsida; Rosales; Rosaceae
Exons: 4
Source: RefSeq, a predicted model, not a curated record